This is a long non-coding RNA of Zalophus californianus (California sea lion), 1590 nucleotides long. RefSeq lists it as uncharacterized. The record is from RefSeq and is a predicted model, not a curated record. NCBI's taxonomy places the organism in Eukaryota, Metazoa, Chordata, Mammalia, Carnivora, Otariidae. The transcript has 3 exons.
CCACGGAGAAGAGAUCAUGUGAGGACACACCAAGAAGGUGGCCGUCAGCCAGCCAGGAAGAGGGCUCUCACCAGCAACCAGCUCUGCUGGCACCCUGAUCUUGGACUUCCAGCCUCCAGGACUAACACGCAAGAGAGGAACCUUAUCACUGGGGGCAGCAAUCAGACCACUUGAGUACAAGGCAGAUUGGCCUCGGGGGCCAGCAUUUACCAGAGCUGUCUGGGGACAUCAGCUCCUAGGACCUGGAGCCCUUGAGACCUUGUGACUGAGGACAGCUGAGCUCAGCCACAGGCCCUCCCCACUGGCAGAUUCGGGGCCCUUGGUGCCUGCAAGAUCAUUGCCUCAGCUAUCUGAAGUGAGCGCCGGGAUCAUUCCAGACAACCCAGGUUCCAUGUCGGCCAUCUCUCAGGUGCUGACCCGGGUGCUGGGGACAGCAGCGUGAGGAAGAGACAGACCUCUCUGCCAAAGGCAACUUAUGUGACAAGUGUUUUCAUGGAGAUGUGGCCCGGAGACAUGGAAAAUGAGGGAAGGCCUCGUCUGGGGCCAAGCUGGGGUGUGGGGCUGGAGUGGCUUCUGUUAUGUGGGGUUACAGAAGGCAGGGACUCUGGACAGGAGGCACAGCUUUCUGCCAUGCUGAGGAAGAGUGAGAAGGGCAUUCUGGGCAGAAGAGAGAACGCAACAGAAGCAUCUCCUCUCUCGGGAGGUCAUUGCCAGUCACGGUAGGGAAGGAAGGAUAAUGGGGUAGGGGCUGAAAUGUAGUUCAGGAGAACCCUUCCCUAUGUCCCUAAUUGGAGCAUGAAAAUCCAAUCCCUUAAACAUUGAGCAGAGACAUGGCUGGCUCAGGAAGGCUGCACCGGCACCCCAUGAAGUGUCGGGCAAGCGUCAGGCAGAACUACAGAGGAUGAGAAUCUCUCAAUUGACAGGUGCAUCCCCGAAGGCCCCCCACAAGUAAGGAACCAGAUUGUCAACACAAUAGCUCUAACUGCGGACCUCUCGACAAUUAGACAGAUAGGCAGAAGACCAUCUAUGGGUCUUAGAAGAAUGGCAGAGACAGGACGUGUGGAGGAUCAGGUCAUACCUGGGGAAUGGGGUUUUGCCCCUACUUAGCCCCUCUGGUCCUACAGGCUCUGCAAGGAGCCGGCUGCAGCCACAGACAUGCCAGGCAGUGGGAGGAGCUGGUGCCCUCACCAUCCCCAAAGCGGGUCUGAUUAUUAAAACUCAUACAUCACGCUUUGAAGCAAAUACCCGGCAUGGGGGAAUUGGAAUCCUUCAGUGUGGACUAGAUCCAUCACCUUCUAAAUCAGGUACAUCAGCCCGUGAAUCAAACACAUCACCUCUAGAUUCGAUGGGCUCCCAGUCGGAUUAGAUGCAUCACCUAUUGAAUCAAAUGCAACUCUGAUUGAAUCAGAAACUGCACCUCACCUAGUAAAUCAUCUAAAUAUUACCCACAUUACAAGUUUGGAAUGGCUGCCUCACCAAUACGUUUUAACAGACGACAUGUUAAAGCUGCUAUAACAUUUAAACAAUUACCCACAGAAACGAACUCAAUACAUCACUCGGGCUGGCCGAUCAACGUUUUGAACGGGAGAA